Molecule: long non-coding RNA, 888 nt
Filed under: Gallus gallus (chicken)
Lineage: Eukaryota; Metazoa; Chordata; Aves; Galliformes; Phasianidae
Source: RNAcentral
AUUGUAGUCAAAAAGUCCUACAGUAGCUCCCGAAGAGUCCAUCUGUACCUGGUUGCCAGGAUAAUCAAAUUGUAGAGAAUCAAGACCAACUUGUUCCAUGGCAUCUAGAUUCUGAUUUUCUGGAUUGGAAAAUUCUUCUACCAAGGGCUUGUGGGCUGUAGGAUUGGGAAGUGGGCCCAAUCCUUCUGUGGUGCUGGGAUUGGGACCCAAGCGUUCAGCUACUUCUGUUGGGGAGGCUUGUCGACUUCCAGGGGUACGAUUAAAAUCUUUGCAAUCGGCAUCCAUUCCAUUUGGCAAACCUCUGCCAUUUAUUUUAGUAACAUCCUCAUCAUCUCCUUGUUUAAGAUCUCUGUUUUUGUCCUCCUCAAAUGGAGAAGCCUUGCCUUUCUGAUCUCCUUUCUCAGGUCCAUCUGUUUCAGCAUCUCUAGUGCCAAAAGCUCCUUUCCUAAACCGGGAAUCCAAUUUAUCAGCUGGAGAGGAACUUAACACAUAUUCUACCAUGCUCACGCCAAGGCCACCACUUUCUGAUCGUGGAGACAAUACAGCAUUUACUUCACUGUUUCCAUGAAAACCCUGUCCAGGCUUUCUCUGUACCAUAAUAGGCUGGGACAUAGAAUGGUGAGGAGUUCCCCAUGCAGUCUCUCUCCACUCAUCACCAAGGAAUAUCCCUUUUUGUCCAUCUUUUGCUGAAUCAUCAGGUUCCCAAAACUUUUUGGCAGGUAAAAGCUCUCCCAUUCCCCGAGAUUCUAGGGCAAGAGCUUGAAACUCAUGAUUCAUCUCAUCCACAGAUCGAACCUGCAGUGUGAUCCUGAGGGGACGUGGGCAGUACUGGGCACUGCAGUGGUGGGGGUGGUGUCAGCAGUGCUCCCACCUACAUCAGGCCCUGCU